AAGCUGAGGCUGCACUUCCUGCGAGGCCCCUGCAGCAGCAGCGCCUUGGUCAGAGCGAGCUUCGGAGGAGCGGUGGUGGGUUCCAUGUGAUGGUGGAGUAGGAGGCAGGUCUCUGCGGUUCAUCUGUGUUGCUCUAAAUGACACUGUUUCAUUAUUUUGAUGGCUGAAGAAUAUUUUCUAGUGUAUGUAUAUGAGAGUUUCUUGAUCUCUUUAUCUGUGGAUGAACAGCCACUUUGAAACAUAUGAUACAUUUGUGUUAAGGCUAGUCACCCUGCUGUGGAAUAGAAGACCAGAAUUGAUCACUCUCAUCUGAGAGUAACUUUGUACCCCAUCACUGAUUCCUUCUGAGACCGCCUCCAUUUCCCCAGCAGCCUCUGGUUUCUUCAUGUGGCUGCAGAUGGCAGGAUUUCCCAAAGGUUUAUGGCUGAAACAUAUUCCGUGGUGUAUCUGUAAAGCAGUUUCCUCAUCCCUGCAGCUGUGUUUGAACAGGUCAUUUACCAUGCUGUCCUCCAGGUUCAACAGUAUGGCUCCAAAUGAUGAAAUUUCACUUUGAUUUUCUGGCUGAAGACUAUUCUGUUUGUGUGUGUCCCCCACAGUUACUUUAUCCCUUCAUCUGUGGAUGGGCAGGUAAGUUUCUUCCUUAUCUUGGCGAUUGUGAAUAAUGCUGCAGUCCGCAUAGGAUGGCUGAUACCUCUUGCAUAAACUGAUUUCUUUUGCACUGAAAGUGUACUUAGUAGUAGAAUUGUUAGAUGAAGUGGUAGUUGUAGGUUUAAUUUUUGGAGGAACCUCCCACUGGUUUCUGUAGUAUGUAUACUAAUUAACUUUUUUUUUUUUUUUUUUGGAUGGAGUCUUGCUCUGUUGCCCAGGCUGGAGCACAGUGGCACGAUC
This is a long non-coding RNA of Nomascus leucogenys (northern white-cheeked gibbon), 888 nucleotides long. RefSeq lists it as uncharacterized. NCBI's taxonomy places the organism in Eukaryota, Metazoa, Chordata, Mammalia, Primates, Hylobatidae. The record is from RefSeq and is a predicted model, not a curated record. The transcript has 5 exons.